UACGGGGGGGGCAAGCGUUGUUCGGAAUUACUGGGCGUAAAGGGCUCGUAGGCGGCCAACUAAGUCGGACGUGAAAUCCCCAGGCUCAACCUGGGAACUGCGUCCGAUACUGGAUGGCUUGAAUCCGGGAGAGGGAUGCAGAAUUCCAGGUGUAGCGGUGAAAUGCGUAGAUAUCUGGAGGAAUACCGGUGGCGAAGGCGGCAUCCUGGACCGGUAUUGACACUGAGGCGCGAAAGCCAGGGGAGCAAACGGG
Molecule: ribosomal RNA, 253 nt
Filed under: uncultured bacterium
Lineage: Bacteria
Description: partial 16S ribosomal RNA
Rfam family: Bacterial small subunit ribosomal RNA
Source: RNAcentral